Molecule: long non-coding RNA, 2125 nt
Filed under: Malus domestica (apple)
Lineage: Eukaryota; Viridiplantae; Streptophyta; Magnoliopsida; Rosales; Rosaceae
Description: long non-coding RNA (MDOM_LNC008551)
Source: RNAcentral
UUAUUUAUUUAAUCACAUUCAAAUAAAUAAUGUCCUAUUACAACUACUAGUCCAAAGUUUAAUGAAUUUAGUAGCAUAUAAUAUCCCCUCUAUUCGUUUUCAUAAAACAAAUCAAUAUCAAAACAUUUUUCAAAUAUUGGAGAUAUAUAUAACUACUAAUUGUAUUCAUUAUAGUUUAGUAGCAUAUGAUACUCCCACUAUUUGUUUUAAGAAAAACAAAUCAAUAUCAAAAACGAAUUUUUCAAAUAUUGGAAGUAACUAAUACUAUUAAGGUUUUUGCAUUCCUUUGAAAUUGGACUUUAUAGUUAUCUUAGGCUCUUGGAUGACCAUGGACUUAUAAGGUUAUUGCAACAACGAGCCAACAUUGUUGAAUAUAAACUCCGGGAGGUUGUGUCAAUUUAAUUACGUGCUUUUCAAUCCAAUUAAAACAUUUUCAUUGAGCCAUUAGAAAUGAAAGGCAAUCAUUCAUUGCUAAUUAGGCAUUGGACCCAUUUAAUCUUUAAUCUCAUGUCAAAACCCUCUUUUAGUUAUGUCUCCUUACCAAUAGUUAAAGAAACUCUAGUCUAGCACUAGAGGGAAUCAACUAACGAAUAGAGAUUAAGAAGUAAUAAGAAUUACAAACCGAUUUGUACAAAUUCCUAUAAAUUACACAUACUAAAAGGGGAGAGAUAGAUUAACGUCAAACGUGACAAGGUCCAAUUAAACAGUAAUUAAAACACAUUCCCAAGGUUCAAACAAUUUGAUUUUAGCGCCUUAUCUCAUAGCUCAAUUAUCGUUUAAGGCAUAAGUCCAAAGUCAUCCAUUUUCUAACUACUUAAUCAUAUUAAAUAAUCAAAAUGGAAUGCAACAUGAACAUUUAGAUUUAGUGCAUAUGGGCAUAAUAGUAUUAUGAGUUUAAACAACUAACAAAAUUAAAAUCAAAUAUUUUAACUUUCUAGUUAGUAGGGGCCUAAAUGCAAAUAUGAAAAAGUUAGGGGUUAAACCGUAAAUACUCAAAAGUAAAUAUCAACUUUUCAAAGAAUACAAAAUAGCCCCACAAGUGGAUAAAUCCACUAGGGAGGGCGGCCACAUUAAGGGGAUGGGAGGUUUCUUACACACUCUUACACAACAUGCAUCAAAAACCACAUUAUGUAGAAAAAAUUAAGUUUUGCUUGUCACUUGGUUUUGCUUCAAAGACUUUAGGGAAAAGGUGAUGGAAAUCCUCCUAGUCAAGUCUAGGGUUUUAUAAAUAUAUGAUAUGGUUAUGGAUGGUAUGAACAUCAUCCAAAACCACAAAACAAUGCAUGAAAACCAAAUAAAACCAUUUUUACCUAAAACCAAACCAUGAACACCAAGAACAAAACCAUGAACACAUUUUCAAGAUUUGUAUAUUCUUGGUGAUUUUUCAAACCCAAAAAUAAAAGUGACAAGAACCCUUUUUCAAGCUUUAAAAGGAAGUGUGAGUGGUUUACAAUAAAACACAAACACAACCCAAAACCACCCCCAAAACCGUGCCCUCCCUUUUGGUUCAAAACCCCAAAAUUUUGUUCAUGACUUAUUCUUCAUUCAUGCAUCUAAAACACCUUUUUACAUGCAUAUCUUUUUUUCAACUCUUGAUUUAUAUUUUUCAACCAUUGAAAAAACAAAAGAUAAACAUACUUUAAAUGAAGAAAUAAUAUGUCAAACUAGUUCUAAACUCAUUUUUCAUUCAUGCAUACAAAACAUUUUUGCAUACAUAUCUUUCUCAACUAUUGACUAACAUUUUUCAACUAUUGAAAAACAAAAGAUAAACAUAUUUUGAAUGAAGCAAUAAUUAUGUCAUACAUAAUAUUAAUACCCAUAUGCAUAAAAUCCAAAAGGACACAUUAUACAUAAACCUUUGGCUCUGAUACCACUUGAAGGGAAAAUUAUGAGUUUUCACAUAUAGGGAUUUCAAAAUGACUAUCAUGCAUAUACAAAUCAAAUUUAAUAUACGAAAGCAGCAUAAGCAUUUAUAACAAAUUAUCAAAGGUAUAGUCAUGCAAAUCCCCUUCAAGGUUUAUAGGUUUAUAUAUAAUGCAUCAAAACAAUUUUAGAGAAGAACAAAGUGCAGGUUUAGUCUAAUACCUCUUGAUCUAGACUUGAGACCAAGGAUGGACCACCUCCA